UUUACGAAAAUAACCUUUCGACAACUGAAAGAUACUCUAAGGCUAUUUCGGCAAGAACAGUUUAAGACGCGGCCGAAGCUGGGUCGGCUUAUUUUGACCAAAAAUCCGAACGGUAUUCACCUAACUGCUGACUCUUUGUUUUUUUUUCAAAUUACAAUGAAAACGUGGAGUUGCAAACACGGCCCUUCAGCGCCUCGGGGACGAAGAUUUUUAAGGCUGUGCGGGUCAACUGGACCAAACUCCUAAACAUGACCCAAAAGGUGUCUGUUUAUGCAAAGUCAGCCUUCCGGCGUCCUUUUCGGGAACAUUAGGCUAUUUAUGACAAAACAGCAUCACCUGACUUAUUUAUGACUCUUUUUAUCGAUUUUCAAAUUAGAAAAGUCAAUAUUGAAAACACGACCUUUCAACGCCUCGGGGACGAAGAUUUUUAAGGCUGUGUGGGUCAACUGGACCAAAUCUUAAAAAAAAUGAACCAAAGGUGGCUGUUUAUGCAAAGUCAGCCUUCCGGCGUCCCUCUCGGGAACAUUCGGCUAUGUCUUGAUAAAACAACGUCACCCGACUUCUUUAUGACAAAAUUAAAAUUUGACAUAUU
This 592-nucleotide long non-coding RNA is filed under the name Nicotiana tabacum (common tobacco). RNAcentral's name for it is "long non-coding RNA (NTAB_LNC014982)". The record is from RNAcentral. Lineage: Eukaryota; Viridiplantae; Streptophyta; Magnoliopsida; Solanales; Solanaceae.